AGGUGUAGCAGUUAGUGAUUGCGCAGAGGCUGAUCAAAAUCUGGAAGAAACCAAAGAGAUUUCAGCCACAGAGUCAGAGCAGCCAGAGAAACUGGCAAACAAAGAAAAUGUUAUAAUUCAGGACAUUCUAACAUCUGACUGAUCAUGUUUGUUUCUUGUGAUGUAUAUAUUACUGAAAUCUUCUGAGUUUUUCCAUUGUCCAGGGGUUGUUGCCUGUGGAACCAUUGAAGAUUACCCCUCCUACUGGUUAUGGCUACUGGAAUCUUGGCAUGGUGGCGUUAUGGCACACUAACAAGCACAUCAAAAUUUAAUCUCAAAUUACUACAUGCAAGGAUAAGAAAUCUGUUACUUCCACGUUUUGUUUUGGGUUACUAUUGUGUUUAUUGAUGAUGUUCAGACUUAAGAAAGGAAAAGAAAAAAAUCACAAGUUGCCAGUUUUCAUUGUAAGGGUACCUUGUGAAAAUGCCAUAAACACGGUUGUAGUACUUUUUGCAAGAAAACUGAAAUGUCGGCUAAAUUAACCCUUAUGCCUAAGGCAGAAGAUUUGACUUCUGAUUGUAAAUAUAAUGGGUGCUCUAGAACAAAGUAGCCUCCACAAUGAAAUGAAGAACAGAUUAACAAUACAGCAUUGUCCUUAUGCAACAACAGAAAAAAAAUGUUGUGAUAGAAGAGAACAGGACUUUGAAGUUGACCCCUGAUUUACUUCAUGUGUGUAAUAGUCUCAGAUUUGAUAUCACGAAGAAAACAGCUUAGUGAAAAAGGUUAUUGUAGUCUAAACCCCUCUUCAAAUGUGUAUAGUACCAUUGUUUUGAUUCAGUUGAGAGUUGUUCUCUUAAUUUAUGUCUAAGGAAACGUUGUGUAAAGUAUGACUAAGGAGUUGUAGACAGUUUUUUUUUCUUUCAUACAUGAAUUAAAAUGUCCGUUUCCUACUAAAUGCAUGUGCAUUACAUGAGGUAAACACCCCAGAUGUAUGAGGAAAAUUUCCUAUGCACACCAUCAUGUGUUUGUAGACUGUUGCUGCAAUCAUUUCAAUAAUUAUUUGGAAAUCCAGUAUGACAUAGAGCAUUGUGUAAUCAAAAUGUGUGCUGUAAUAUCCUUACGUGUGUUCACUAGUCAGUGAUUAAGCCUAAGCCCAGGGUGAUUUGAUAAGAUGAUAAAGGUCUGUAUGUUCGUUCAGGACUUCAUGAGAAACGAAUUAGCCUGGUCUUCUGUGCCUCUUUCGCACUGAGCUCAUGUCCCAUAUUGGCCUAGAGGAUCAUCAUGGCGUUUUUCUCGCGAAAUAGUUUCCUGGAAAUCUCAAGUUGUAGGGCAUAUGAAACAUCAAGGCCAAAGGUCAACAGUGUAGUAAACUUUCGCAAAAUGUCAAUCAGUGACUUGUGAGGUUGUACCUUUAGUCAUGUUCAUAAACUGAUGCUCCAUAUUACAAAUUAAGACAUUUGCAAGUUAUCACCCCUUACAUGAUAACGGUGAGAGAUAUAUAGAUGCAGAAUCUCUACAAUCUCGUUGUCCAUGAAAUGUAGUCCUAUUUUGUUUUUACAUAGCAGGCACUCUGUUCAGCUAUUUGAAGGAUCAAAUUCCAAAAAUCUGGCAGGAUUGCACAAAGCCAGUUUUGACAGAAGCCAAAAUUAGAAGUGACGUGCAUGUUUGUUUUUGGACUUGAAGUCACCAAACUGUUACUUUGUGAAGACAAAGAUACCAAAAUUUCAUCUGGGGAUGUAAAUAAUACACACCAAACUUGUGACUAAAGUGGAAUUGACACCAGCUAUUUUUGUUCUGAGUUCUUGCAAGAAUUUGCCAAAAUAAAAAAAAUAAUCAAAAAAAUCUGAGCUGUAUACUGUAGCUCAAAAGCAUGUGGCUUGAUCUGCUGCGAAAUACCUGGAAUUCCUGCUAUUUUCAAGUGGUAUUAACAAGCUUUAUAUAAGUAAC
Molecule: long non-coding RNA, 1926 nt
Organism: Liolophura sinensis
Lineage: Eukaryota; Metazoa; Mollusca; Polyplacophora; Chitonida; Chitonidae
Exons: 3
Source: RefSeq, a predicted model, not a curated record